CGGACGAACGCUGGCGGCGUGCUUAACACAUGCAAGUCGAACGGAUCACAUGAUUUCGGUUGUGUGGUGAGUGGCGAACGGGUGAGUAACACGUGAGUAAUCUGGCCCAGACUCUGGGAUAACGGCUCGAAAGGGCUGCUAAUACCGGAUGUUGAACUGUCAUCGCAUGGUGGUGGUUUGAAAGUUCCGGCGGUCUGGGAUGGGCUCGCGGCCUAUCAGCUUGAUGGUGGGGUAAUGGCCUACCAUGGCGUCGACGGGUAGCCGGCCUGAGAGGGCGACCGGCCACACUGGGACUGAGAUACGGCCCAGACUCCUACGGGAGGCAGCAGUGGGGAAUAUUGCACAAUGGGCGCAAGCCUGAUGCAGCAACGCCGCGUGCGGGAUGAAGGCCUUCGGGUUGUAAACCGCUUUCACCAGGGACGAAGGGUUUUCUUGACGGUACCUGGAGAAGAAGCACCGGCUAACUACGUG
This 471-nucleotide ribosomal RNA is filed under the name uncultured bacterium. RNAcentral describes it as "bacterial SSU rRNA". It matches the Rfam family "Bacterial small subunit ribosomal RNA", at positions 27 to 507 of the family's 1533-position model. The record is from RNAcentral.